RNAcentral lists this small RNA (501 nucleotides) under Pan troglodytes (chimpanzee). RNAcentral describes it as "retained intron". Lineage: Eukaryota; Metazoa; Chordata; Mammalia; Primates; Hominidae. The record is from RNAcentral.
AAUCUGAAUGUACAUUUUCUCUUAUGUCAGAUAAGGUGAGACUAUUUAAUGGUAACUUUUCUUCAUUUUGCAAAUAGGGUUUAAUACCAGUUCUAUCUUAGAAAUGUCUCAGCCCCCCACAGUGUGAUCUGACUCCCAAAGCUUUCUUUUUCAUAAUCCAAUAGUUUCAUUUGGUCUGAAUUUCUCAUAUUAAAAUUGUGUCUUUUUAUCUUCCUUGGGAUGGCCCUAGUUUUUAAACACUUUUUAAAUGUGCAUAUUUAUUUCCUUUGUAGAACUUAAACCAGUCAGUAGCCCAUGACUGGACAUCAGGUUUACAAAGGCUUAUUUUGAAGAAAGAAGAUGAAAUCAGAGCUGCGGACUGCUGCAGAAUUCAGUUACAGCUUCCCGGGAAGCAGGACAAAUCUGGGCGACCGACGUUCUUUACAGCUGUGUUCAAUACGUUCACCCCUGCCAUCAAGGAGUCCUGGGUCAACAGCUUACAGAUGGCCAAGCUCGCCCUAG